This 329-nucleotide unclassified non-coding RNA is filed under the name soil metagenome. Its description in RNAcentral is "partial contains 5.8S ribosomal RNA, internal transcribed spacer 2, and large subunit ribosomal RNA". The stretch from base 1 to 120 matches the Rfam family "5.8S ribosomal RNA", at positions 35 to 154 of the family's 154-position model. The record is from RNAcentral.
GAUGAAGAACGCAGCGAAAUGCGAUAAGUAAUGUGAAUUGCAGAAUUCAGUGAAUCGUCGAAUCUUUGAACGCACAUUGCGCCCCCUGGUAUUCCGGGGGGCAUGCCUGUCCGAGCGUCAUUACAACCCUCAAGCUCAGCUUGGUGUUGGGCCCCGCCGCCCCGGCGGGCCCUAAAGUCAGUGGCGGUGCCGUCCGGCUCCGAGCGUAGUAAUUCUUCUCGCUCUGGAGGUCCGGUCGUGUGCUCGCCAGCAACCCCCAAUUUUUUUCAGGUUGACCUCGGAUCAGGUAGGGAUACCCGCUGAACUUAAGCAUAUCAAUAAGCGGAGGA